ACGGGUGAGUAAUACAUCGGAACGUGCCCUGUAGUGGGGGAUAACUAGUCGAAAGAUUAGCUAAUACCGCAUACGACCUGAGGGUGAAAGUGGGGGACCGCAAGGCCUCAUGCUAUAGGAGCGGCCGAUGUCUGAUUAGCUAGUUGGUGGGGUAAAGGCCCACCAAGGCGACGAUCAGUAGCUGGUCUGAGAGGACGAUCAGCCACACUGGGACUGAGACACGGCCCAGACUCCUACGGGAGGCAGCAGUGGGGAAUUUUGGACAAUGGGCGAAAGCCUGAUCCAGCAAUGCCGCGUGUGUGAAGAAGGCCUUCGGGUUGUAAAGCACUUUUGUCCGGAAAGAAAUGGCUCUGGUUAAUACCUGGGGUCGAUGACGGUACCGGAAGAAUAAGGACCGGCUAACUACGUGCCAGCAGCCGCGGUAAUACGUAGGGUCCAAGCGUUAAUCGGAAUUACUGGGCGUAAAGCGUGCGCAGGCGGUUGUGCAAGACCGAUGUGAAAUCCCCGAGCUUAACUUGGGAAUUGCAUUGGUGACUGCACGGCUAGAGUGUGUCAGAGGGGGGGUAGAAUUCCACGU
This 577-nucleotide ribosomal RNA is filed under the name uncultured bacterium. Its description in RNAcentral is "bacterial SSU rRNA". It matches the Rfam family "Bacterial small subunit ribosomal RNA", at positions 102 to 674 of the family's 1533-position model. The record is from RNAcentral.